This is a long non-coding RNA of Dromaius novaehollandiae (emu), 460 nucleotides long. RefSeq lists it as uncharacterized. The transcript is spliced from 2 exons. The record is from RefSeq and is a predicted model, not a curated record. Lineage: Eukaryota; Metazoa; Chordata; Aves; Casuariiformes; Dromaiidae.
AGAGUUAUGUCCCAUGACGGAGGAAAGGCCCCAGAACUGUGCUGCAGCCAGGGAGUUUACCAAGGUCUUUUGGCUGGAGAGCCCAGCAGAGCUUACUGGCACCAGCCCAGAUGGCUCACCGGUGCCCCCGAGCAUCUGAGACUCUUCUGCUGUGGAAAGGACCUUGAGAGACAACAGUAAGACCCAACAAGAAACGAAGGUACAACCGUCAGCGGAAACGGCAACAGUAAAGAUGAGGGAGAAAAACAGCCUGCCUAGGAACAACGAUGAGACCCACUAAGGAGCAGGAGACCCCAGACCUGAAAGUUACGAUUGGUCUGAACUACCGCGUGAGGGGUGGGAAACUGAAUUUGGAAAAGCUGUAAUUGCCCAGGGAUUUCUUUGUUCGGGGUCCCUCGUCGGAGGCACCCAGCUCGAGCUGUAAUUACUGCACACACGUUAUUAAAAUGUAAUUAUUUAA